This 254-nucleotide ribosomal RNA is filed under the name uncultured bacterium. RNAcentral's name for it is "partial 16S ribosomal RNA". It matches the Rfam family "Bacterial small subunit ribosomal RNA", at positions 524 to 776 of the family's 1533-position model. The record is from RNAcentral.
GACGUAGGGCGCAAGCGUUGUCCGGAUUUAUUGGGCGUAAAGAGCUCGUAGGCGGCUCGUUGCGUCGGCUGUGAAAACCCGCAGCUCAACUGUGGGCUUGCAGCCGAUACGGGCAUCACUAGAGUUCGGCAGGGGAGACUGGAAUUCCUGGUGUAGCGGUGAAAUGCGUAGAUAUCUGGAGGAACACCGGUGGCGAAGGCGGCGUUCUGGACUGUAACUGACACUGAGGAACGAAAGCCAGGGGAGCAAACGGG